This 734-nucleotide long non-coding RNA is filed under the name Cyanistes caeruleus (blue tit). Its description in RNAcentral is "lncRNA (ENSCCEG00000009822.1)". Lineage: Eukaryota; Metazoa; Chordata; Aves; Passeriformes; Paridae. The record is from RNAcentral.
AUGGCAGUCACAUUGGAAAGUAAUCCUGUUGGCCGGUCAUCUGAAGGCAAAUUCAGGAAAACAACCACUAGGUCAAAUUUUCUGUUUGAUGGAUUUAAACUGCUACUUCUCUUGUCAGAAUUCAAGAGAGAACUUGAAUGCUGCUGAAUCAGAUAAUGGCCUUGAAGUAUUUGGGAUGUAAAACAGAGGCCCAAGGCUUGUGACAGGCAUCUCCCAAGUUUGUACAAAGUCAGGUAAGAGGGUGUGUUGUGCCUAUGGAGAAUGAAUUAUAUCAGGCUGGAGAGCUAUAAUACUGAUGUGUGAGCAGGCCAACAUUGUAGUGGUCAGUAAAAAGUCUUACCUGACCAACUGUGGGUAUUCAAUAUGCAGUAUAAACUCCUGCAGUGCAUAAGUUUGAGCUCAUUAUGUAAACUGUGGACAUUAAAACCUCUGUUUCCUCUUCUUUCUCUGAGUAUGCAGCUUUUGUUUUCUGGACAUGUUUAAUCACAGGCCCCCACCACUCAUGUACAAAAGCAGGAAUGGAGGAGACAUCAAGCAGACAAGUGUGUAUGCAGCAAGGUUAGGCGCCUAGCCAAUGGCUUAGUCCUCUUCAGGGGCAGGCCUCUGUCCAGAUUGGUAUUUAGAGCUAGAUUCUGUCUGUUCUGGCACUUUCAUUACUUUGCUAAUGAAACAAAGCAGUGAUUAAUUUAUCUUUAGUGUUAAACAAAAGUAUUUUACUUACCUUCUGCUAGAAC